UCUUCACUUCCUACCAUUCUUGUUACUCCUUGUGGUGGUAAAUUGAGUUGAUGCAUCGCAAGCAUUAACUCCCUCAAUUAUUCUUGCAUCUGUGCCAUUGCACUCUUCAUUUCAACAAGCUCUGCCAUAGUAGCACUUAGAAAAGAGAAGAUGUCUAAUAACGCUCAAAACAAAUAGAAGAGAGGAAUUGAUAACAAAGAAAAUACUAAGAACAAUAUCAGUUUAAAAGAGGGUAAUCCGCAACUUCUAAUGCGCUUAUGUCUUAUCAAGAAAAAGGAGUAAUCCACUCUUAAUCAAGAAAAGACAAAGCUCU
This 313-nucleotide long non-coding RNA is filed under the name Physcomitrium patens. RNAcentral's name for it is "long non-coding RNA (PPAT_LNC010894)". The record is from RNAcentral. Lineage: Eukaryota; Viridiplantae; Streptophyta; Bryopsida; Funariales; Funariaceae.